Molecule: ribosomal RNA, 253 nt
Filed under: uncultured bacterium
Lineage: Bacteria
Description: partial 16S ribosomal RNA
Rfam family: Bacterial small subunit ribosomal RNA
Source: RNAcentral
UACAUGGGGUGCAAACGUUGCUCGGAAUUCUUGGGCGUAAAGCGCGCGUAGGCUGUUACUCAAGUCGGAUGUGAAAGCCCUCGGCUUAACUGAGGAAGUGCACCCGAAACUGAGUAGCUAGAGUACCAAAGAGGGUCGCGGAAUUCCCGGUGUAGAGGUGAAAUUCGUAGAUAUCGGGAGGAACACCGGUGGCGAAGGCGGCGACCUGGGUGGAUACUGACGCUGAGGCGCGAAAGCGUGGGGAGCAAACAGG